RNAcentral lists this ribosomal RNA (379 nucleotides) under uncultured eukaryote. Its description in RNAcentral is "partial 18S ribosomal RNA". It matches the Rfam family "Eukaryotic small subunit ribosomal RNA", at positions 592 to 976 of the family's 1831-position model. The record is from RNAcentral.
CAAUAGCGUAUAUUAAAGUUGUUGCGGUUAAAAAGUUCGUAGUUGGAUUUCUGUCGGAGACCUGCGGUCUGCGCUACGUGCAUGUAUCUGUAGGGCUCUGGCAUCCUUCCGAAAGACGUCGCUAUGCUUCAUUGCACGGUGCGGAGUUCGGAACUUUUACUUUGAGGAAAUUAGAGUGUUCACGGCAGGCCAACGCCAUGAAUAUAUUAGCAUGGAAUAAUAAUAUAGGAUUUCGGUUCUAUUUUGUUGGUUUCUAGGGCUGAAAUAAUGAUUAAUAGGGACAGUUGGGGGCAUUCGUAUUAAGGCGUCAGAGGUGGAAUUCUUGGAUUGCCUUACGACGAACUACUGCGAAAGCAUUUGCCAAGGAUGUUUUCAUUGA